UGUCCUCAAAAGACACUGUACUCCUGUUUGGUUAUGAGAAAUAGUACGUAUGAUGGAAGUAAAAAUCUGCACUGAGAGGAUGAGAACUCCUAUCUAUGUCUUUAAUAGAGAACAGUGAUAGCUAAUGAAGAUUUCAGAGCAAUGUAAGUUUUAAUUGGGUGGAGAUGUUGAAUUCAACAGGACUACCUAUGGGCUGAGUAGUGUUUAGUAUUGUUUGAUUUCAGCUAACACUGCUGUGUUAAAAAUUGAUCUUGAGUGUGAGAAAAUAUUUAAAUGAUUCCUUGUAUAGACAAAAAUACAGGGACAAGUCAUGAAUUUACAAAGUUAUACAGAGAGUUUCAUAUGCCAAAUGAAGCCCAUGUCAAGCUUCACAAAAAGGAGGGCACCUUUCUAUGUAGGAAGCAAGAUCACAUUGUAAAUCCAGCUGAUUCUGAUUACCCAUGUCCUACAAAGAAGUUAAAAGUGCUACGCAAUCAUCUGCUCCACCUGAAAUUUGCCUCUAUAUCUUCACAGUGCCAGGUCAGCUGUGUGGGGGAGUAAUGUUAGCAGUCUCUAUUUCUAAAAAGUACUUGUGGAGCCAGUUUUGUAAGCUACAAGUUUUUGGCUAUGAGAACGAAGGAACUUACGCAUUCUACAGCCAUUCACUAACCUACCUUUUGAAUCCUGCUUGUCUUACAGCUUACAAAACUAUUUGUCAGUAUUUCCACUGACUCAAUGGGGCUACUUGUUGUUAUGAAGACUGUUUUUUCAGUUAUGUUAACACUUAUUUUAAGAUACUAAUCAAUCGUCAUAAAAGAUCUUGAAUAGCAAGAGAGUUUUUGGUUUUGCUCACAUGGAUGAAAACCUAUGACUUCUGGGACAAAGCUGAAUCAAGUUUGGCUAAAGGCAGGCUCUCUGUCCGGGCUGUCCCUUCGCUACGUGAAAAUCUGCUCAGAGUUGCCACUGUAGAGAAGAGAGUGACAGUCAAUGGAUGGGGACUUCGACAUGAUUACAUCCACUCUACUGCCCGGCCAUACAUUGACAGACAAAACUACUGUAAUGGACUGAUCAUUUGGAAAAUGGCUACUGCCCACAUUUAAAUUCCUUUCAGUGUUAUUCCAUAGCCAAUUAGAGUGGUAGCCCAGCCUAUAUUCAUGCCAGUCUUGUACUAUAUUGUAAGAAAAAGGAAAGGAGCAGCUCAGAAGUCUUUAAUUAUUCCUCCAGCCAUUUAUUGACCUGCUCUCUAAAGGCCAUACAUGGGCCGUCAUCUGCAUGCAAAAUUUCUAUUGACAUCACUGGGAGGGCCACAGGCAGAUGGAAGGUACUUUGUAAACCUUACAGUUUAAAUAUGUUGUAAGAGAAAGGUACAGAAUUUGAGGUUAUUAAAAAAAAAAAAAAAGCAGCUUUAUCUAAUAUUGCUCUUUAAACAUGGAAUUUGAAUAAUGUUUUUUCCUAGCAAGCAACAUCCCCCCCCCCUUCUCUUCAAGCUACCUAACCUACACGUUUCUGUAAAGUCUUCAUAUUUAACACUCAAACAAUUGAUGUCCCUAUAGUAUAAACAGGAUAGAUAAUGAAUAUAAGUGGGAUAGAAAAUUAAUCCUACUUGCGAGGAAAGAGAGUCAUAAUUCACUUAGGCUUCUCAGCUCUUACGUUAUGAGGUCUUCAGCUAACUCAUGGGAUCCAUUCCACAUCCCACAGAUGCUCAUUAUGAAUUCUUUUUAUGUGCAACAU
This is a long non-coding RNA of Anser cygnoides (Swan goose), 1710 nucleotides long. The record is from Ensembl. NCBI's taxonomy places the organism in Eukaryota, Metazoa, Chordata, Aves, Anseriformes, Anatidae.